RNAcentral lists this ribosomal RNA (253 nucleotides) under uncultured bacterium. RNAcentral describes it as "partial 16S ribosomal RNA". It matches the Rfam family "Bacterial small subunit ribosomal RNA", at positions 524 to 776 of the family's 1533-position model. The record is from RNAcentral.
UACGUAGGGGGCAAGCGUUGUCCGGAAUCAUUGGGCGUAAAGAGCGUGUAGGCGGCUCGAUAAGUCUGCUGUGAAAGUCCAGGGCUCAACCCUGGAAGGCCGGUGGAAACUGUCGGGCUAGAGUCCGGAAGAGGCGAGUGGAAUUCCCGGUGUAGCGGUGAAAUGCGCAGAUAUCAAGAGGAACACCUGCGGCGAAGGCGGGUUGCUGGGCCGACACUGACGCUGAGGCGCGAAAGCUAGGGGAGCGAACGGG